GCGAGCGGCGGAUGGGUGAGUAACACGUGGGGAACCUGCCCCUAAGUCUGGGAUACCAUUUGGAAACAGGUGCUAAUACCGGAUAAUAAAGCAGAUCGCAUGAUCAGCUUUUGAAAGGCGGCGUAAGCUGUCGCUAAGGGAUGGCCCCGCGGUGCAUUAGCUAGUUGGUAAGGUAACGGCUUACCAAGGCGACGAUGCAUAGCCGAGUUGAGAGACUGAUCGGCCACAUUGGGACUGAGACACGGCCCAAACUCCUACGGGAGGCAGCAGUAGGGAAUCUUCCACAAUGGACGCAAGUCUGAUGGAGCAACGCCGCGUGAGUGAAGAAGGUUUUCGGAUCGUAAAGCUCUGUUGUUGGUGAAGAAGGAUAGAGGUAGUAACUGGCCUUUAUUUGACGGUAAUCAACCAGAAAGUCACGGCUAACUACGUGCCAGCAGCCGCGGUAAUACGUAGGUGGCAAGCGUUGUCCGGAUUUAUUGGGCGUAAAGCGAGCGCAGGCGGAAAAAUAAGUCUAAUGUGAAAGCCCUCGGCUUAACCGAGGAACUGCAUCGGAAACUGUUUUUCUUGAGUGCAGAAGAGGAGAGUGGAACUCCAUGUGUAGCGGUGGAAUGCGUAGAUAUAUGGAAGAACACCAGUGGCGAAGGCGGCUCUCUGGUCUGCAACUGACGCUGAGGCUCGAAAGCAUGGGUAGCGAACAGGAUUAGAUACCCUGGUAGUCCAUGCCGUAAACGAUGAGUGCUAAGUGUUGGGGAGGUUUCCGCCUCUCAGUGCUGCAGCUAACGCAUUUAAGCACUCCGCCUGGGGAAGUACGACCGCAAGGUUGAAACUCAAAGGAAAUUGACGGGGGCCC
Molecule: ribosomal RNA, 850 nt
Filed under: uncultured bacterium
Lineage: Bacteria
Description: bacterial SSU rRNA
Rfam family: Bacterial small subunit ribosomal RNA
Source: RNAcentral